UUCCUUCCAAGGUGGUUCUAGUCGGUGCCAACUCACAAUUAUACUCAUAUUGCCUUACGAAAGCCUUGGACAAGUCAAUCCAGGUUCUUACGUCUUCAGGUUUCAGAUUUGAAUACCAAUCAAGUGCGUCCCCUUCCAGACUUUCGGGGAACAACCUUAGAGGCAAGUUUUCAUCGUCCACAGGCUUUCCCAAUUUGUUUGCAAAUAGUCGGAGGUGCGUCUUGGGAUUACCCGUCCCAUCGUACUUGUUAAACUUAGGAGUUUUGAACCCCUCAGGCAGUUGCACAUUCGGAAAGAGACACAGCUCAUCGUAAUCCAAAACUCC
This 325-nucleotide long non-coding RNA is filed under the name Coffea arabica (coffee). RNAcentral's name for it is "long non-coding RNA (CARA_LNC007207)". Lineage: Eukaryota; Viridiplantae; Streptophyta; Magnoliopsida; Gentianales; Rubiaceae. The record is from RNAcentral.